Molecule: ribosomal RNA, 253 nt
Filed under: uncultured bacterium
Lineage: Bacteria
Description: partial 16S ribosomal RNA
Rfam family: Bacterial small subunit ribosomal RNA
Source: RNAcentral
UACAGAGGUCCCAAGCGUUGUUCGGAUUCAUUGGGCGUAAAGGGUGCGUAGGCGGCGCGGCAAGUCGGGUGUGAAAUCUCGGAGCUUAACUCCGAAACUGCAUUCGAUACUGCCGUGCUUGAGGACUGGAGAGGGGACUGGAAUUUACGGUGUAGCGGUGAAAUGCGUAGAUAUCGUAAGGAAGACCAGUGGCGAAGGCGGGUCUCUGGACAGUUCCUGACGCUGAGGCACGAAGGCCAGGGGAGCAAACGGG